CGCAUCUGUGCAUGCAGCAUAUCAAUAAGCGGAGGAAAAGAAACUAACAAGGAUUCCCUCAGUAACGGCGAGUGAAGCGGGAAGAGCUCAAAUUUGAAAUCUUGAAAGGUCACCUUUCACGAAUUGUAGUUUAAAGAAGUGUUCUCUGUUACGAUCGUAAUAUAAGUUCUUUGGAAUAGGGACAUCACAGAGGGUGAGAAUCCCGUCUAUGAUUGCGAUUUAGUAGCUUUGUGAUACACUUUCAAAGAGUCGGGUUGUUUGGGAAUGCAGCCCAAAACGGGAGGUAAAUUUCUUCUAAGGCUAAAUAUUGGCGAGAGACCGAUAGCGAACAAGUACCGUGAGGGAAAGAUGAAAAGAACUUUGAAAAGAGAGUUAAAUAGUACGUGAAAUUGUCAAAAGGGAAGCGUUUAACACCAGUGUUGUUUUCUGAAAAUCAACCUCUGUUAACUUUAUGCAUGUUUGUUUAGACCUAAUCAGCUAUCUUGCAUGUUCUAUUGUUUGCAGUGGUGCACUUUUCAGUUUACAGGUCAACAUCAGUUUUUUUUACCGUAAAAAAGUUAAAGAAAGGUAGCUCAUGGCUCCGGUCGUGAGUGUUAUAGUCUUUUUCCUAUGCGGUAGGAGAGACUGAGGUCUGCAGUGUAGGCUAUUUGGCUAGAUACUCAGGUGCUAUGUGAUACCAUUUCAUAAACAACUUGUUGAUUAUGUUUUGUCUAUUGCAUACUCGCUUGUACUAUCAUACCUACGCUUAGGAUGUUGACGAUCAGCUGAGCGCG
Molecule: ribosomal RNA, 773 nt
Filed under: uncultured Neocallimastigales
Lineage: Eukaryota; Fungi; Neocallimastigomycota; Neocallimastigomycetes; Neocallimastigales
Description: partial large subunit ribosomal RNA
Rfam family: Eukaryotic large subunit ribosomal RNA
Source: RNAcentral